Molecule: ribosomal RNA, 427 nt
Filed under: uncultured bacterium
Lineage: Bacteria
Description: bacterial SSU rRNA
Rfam family: Bacterial small subunit ribosomal RNA
Source: RNAcentral
UGGGGAAUUUUGGACAAUGGGGGCAACCCUGAUCCAGCCAUGCCGCGUGAGUGAAGAAGGCCUUCGGGUUGUAAAGCUCUUUCGGCCGGGAAGAAAUCGCAUGGGUUAAUACCUUGUGCGGAUGACGGUACCAUCAGAAGAAGCACCGGCUAACUACGUGCCAGCGGCCGCGGUAAUACGUAUGGUGCGAGCGUUAAUCGGAAUUACUGGGCGUAAAGCGUGCGCAGGCGGUUAUGUAAGACAGAUGUGAAAUCCCCGGGCUCAACCUGGGAACUGCGUUUGUGACUGCAUAACUAGAGUACGGCAGAGGGAGGUGGAAUUCCGCGUGUAGCAGUGAAAUGCGUAGAUAUGCGGAGGAACACCGAUGGCGAAGGCAGCCUCCUGGGCCAGUACUGACGCUCAUGCACGAAAGCGUGGGGAGCAAACA